AUGCCCAAAAGUAUUUGAUCUGGAUUACCAAAUCCAAAUCCCAGUUUUGUGGGAACAGUAUCACAUGGUUUUGAAAUACCCAACUCUGGUAUUUAAUCCUAGCCGGAUGAUUCUCAUGUACAUUAAAUGUUUGAAAUACUGGGCCAUGAUGAUCCAGUGAUGAGCUCACCUGAACUCAAUCACUGAAUUGCCUCCCACAUCCUAGUCCACCACAGUUGUCUGCCCCUUCUACUGGCAAGAUGAUGUAUACUCCCCACACUUAUGUGUAAUGUGUAAUAUGUAUUAUGUAUAAAUAUGUAUUUUCUCAGUCAGAUAGAAUUACCUCUGUGUCAUACUGUUAAGACUUUGCUUUGUAUCUUACUGUUCAAGUUGCCAGUUUUACAUAGUAGGUUACACUUUUCUUUUAUGCAGAAUCAGUGUGUGGAACUCUCAGAUGACAGCGAUUUUGAAAGCCCAGCUCCACAACAAAGGAGAGUGAGUCAGAGAGAUGUACUACCCAAAACCCAGGGGGAACAUUCUGAGAGGCGAGAGGGUGCUGAAGCCAGUUCGCUACAUGAUGAUGGGAUGGAAUUACAAGGACAGCAAAGGCCAAAUGGAGCUACUGUUCACUUUGCAGAUUUCAUGUAUAAAUAUAUUUAUUAGGGUUUUCACAUGUAACAUUUACAUUGCAUUUUAUGAUGUUAAGGAAUUUAGGAGGCCAUAAGAUGCAGUCUUUUAGAAGAGUCUGUGCAGUCCUUACAGGAUUCAAGGCUUCCAAAAACUUUAAGCAAAGAAGAAAUAACAGGAAUGGUAAAAGCACACAGUGAGAAGGUUGUCACAACAUCAUACAUCUGCAUCAGCCGAGGGAACGUGUGGACAACUGCCCUCUGACAUUUUAAUAGACGCAGAUUCGCUGAGAGUACCGAUGUGCUGUAUGUCACCUUUGCCAGUGAUGAAGACACCAAUGAAGAUGCAGAAGACCUGGGAGGGCCCAGACGAGAAUUCUUCCGACUACUCAUAAAAGCUAUCUUCAGAGAGAGUGGAGCUUUUGAAGGUUCUGCCACUCCUGAAAGAAAACCCUUGCUUUAGGGUCCUUCUUGAGAAGCCUGAAGAACACAGUGAUAUUACAGCAGCUGUUGUGGCGACCCUCCUGAAACCCCACUACUCUUUUCUGGGAAGCAACAGAAGACCAAGAGAGGAGUUAAUGGUGGUUAAGUUCAGAGAGUUUCUCCAUUGUGUACAAGAGAAAGAAGUUGGUGAACGUCUUCAUGCCAGGACCCUCACUGAGGAAGAGCAGGCAUUUAUCCUGACAUUGAGUCCUGGACACAUCCUAGCCUUUGCGACAGGAAGCAGCAGAAUUCCUGCGAUUGGAUUUCUUCCCAAUCCAAAGCUGACUUUUGUUCAUGAUGACACAAAACACAUUCCAGUUGCUCACACAUGCUCAAACGAGCUCCAGAUCUUUGUUAACGACCAUAUUCUGGUGGCUCUCAUGAAUGGUGCCAUUUUCAGUGUAGUGUAGCACCCCCCCACACACACAAAAAAAAAUUGCAUAGCUAGACAUGUUAAUACAUUUUAGGCUAAUGUUAAAACUGUUCAGCCUUCUACCAGUCUACUCUAAUAGUAUUUACAGUACAGCAUUGUUAAAUGUACACCACUACUGAUUGACAUGUUAAUGUGACAUUAUUUACUUCAGUACCUUCAUUAGUAUGGGCUCAAGAGUUAGACAUUUACCAUUUUGUGGUAUACAAAUUCCUUUACUCUGCGAUAUAAUGUUUUUCCCUUGUUACCAUCAUUUUCAAGAGGGUUUACUGCAACAAUCAAUUCUUGCAGCUCUUGCUGGUUAAGUGGGCAAAAUGCAUUAAGUGCAUGAGAUGUUGAGGCUGAGUCCACUGUUCUUGCCUCAGUUGCAGCUUCAGGAUAGUUCAGUAACAGAAGAUGUCUGUCGAGUGUGAAAAGCUGAAGUGGGGUUCUGUUUCCUUCAGAUGAGACUGAAUGAUUGUUAAAUGCAGCUUUAAACUCAUCUAAUGUGCGAUUGAUCCUGGGAAUGUACACAAAA
Long non-coding RNA from Centropristis striata (black sea bass), 2035 nucleotides. RefSeq lists it as uncharacterized. Lineage: Eukaryota; Metazoa; Chordata; Actinopteri; Perciformes; Serranidae. The record is from RefSeq and is a predicted model, not a curated record. The transcript is spliced from 5 exons.